Molecule: transfer RNA, 75 nt
Filed under: subsurface metagenome
Description: tRNA-Arg
Rfam family: tRNA
About the family: Transfer RNA (tRNA) molecules are approximately 80 nucleotides in length. Their secondary structure includes four short double-helical elements and three loops (D, anti-codon, and T loops). Further hydrogen bonds mediate the characteristic L-shaped molecular structure. tRNAs have two regions of fundamental functional importance: the anti-codon, which is responsible for specific mRNA codon recognition, and the 3' end, to which the tRNAs corresponding amino acid is attached (by aminoacyl-tRNA synthetases). tRNAs cope with the degeneracy of the genetic code in two manners: having more than one tRNA (with a specific anti-codon) for a particular amino acid; and 'wobble' base-pairing, i.e. permitting non-standard base-pairing at the 3rd anti-codon position.
Source: RNAcentral
GUCCCUGUAGCUCAACUGGAUAGAGCACCAGUCUUCUAAACUGGAGGUUGUGCGUUCGAGUCGCACUAGGGACGC